Molecule: ribosomal RNA, 253 nt
Filed under: uncultured bacterium
Lineage: Bacteria
Description: partial 16S ribosomal RNA
Rfam family: Bacterial small subunit ribosomal RNA
Source: RNAcentral
UACGUAGGGGGCAAGCGUUGUCCGGAAUCAUUGGGCGUAAAGCGCGUGUAGGCGGUUCGGUAAGUCUGCUGUGAAAGUCCAGGGCUCAACCCUGGGAUGCCGGUGGAUACUGUCGGACUAGAGUACGGAAGAGGCGAGUGGAAUUCCCGGUGUAGCGGUGAAAUGCGUAGAUAUCUGGAGGAACACCGGUGGCGAAGGCGGCAUCCUGGACCGACACUGACGCUGAGGAGCGAAAGCCAGGGGAGCAAACGGG